UUUUAAUUUCAGAUCCUUGGGA
RNAcentral lists this non-coding RNA (22 nucleotides) under Arabidopsis thaliana (thale cress). Lineage: Eukaryota; Viridiplantae; Streptophyta; Magnoliopsida; Brassicales; Brassicaceae. The record is from RNAcentral.